Molecule: long non-coding RNA, 313 nt
Filed under: Lathyrus oleraceus (garden pea)
Lineage: Eukaryota; Viridiplantae; Streptophyta; Magnoliopsida; Fabales; Fabaceae
Description: Pisum sativum (pea) long non-coding RNA (PSAT_LNC019994)
Source: RNAcentral
UUGAUGUUACAUCCUGUGUUUGUUUUUUUUAUUUCCUUGGUUUUAUUUUCUUAUUAUUUUUUUCUUCACCGAAUGCUCUUUUCCGUGCUUCUUUUUGAAUCUUCGAGUUAUAAUUUUUUUUCUCUUUUUAUUUUUCUUUCUCUCGAUUCAUCAAUUUUUUCCUUUUUUAUUCUUGCACUUUCUUGGGCUUUGGGAGCUUUUGGGGUUUUUACCCCAAACUUAGCUUUUUAACACAGUUUGAAUGUAUUAUCAUGACUCUGAACAGGGUAAGGAAGUGUUUUUGGCUAAGGGGUACAUUUAUGGGGUUUAAACA